ACCGUUAGCAACAGAAAGAAGCCCCGGGCUAACUCCGUGCCAGCAGCGCGGUAAUACGGAGGGUGCGAGCGUUAAUCGGAUUACUGGGCGUAAAGCGCACGCAGGCGGUCUGUUAAGCUAGAUGUGAAAGCCCGCGCUCAACGUGGGAGGGUCAUUUAGAACUGGCAGACUAGAGUCUUGGAGAGGGGAGUGGAAUUCCAGGUGUAGCGGUGAAAUGCGUAGAGAUCUGGAGGAACAUCAAUGGCGAAGGCAACUCCCUGGCCAAAGACUGACGCUCAUGUGCGAAAGUGUGGGUAGCGAACAGGAUUAGAUACCCUGGUAGUCCACACCGUAAACGCUGUCUACUAGCUGUUUGUGAAUUUAAUUCGUGAGUAGCGAAGCUAACGCGAUAAGUAGACCGCCUGGGGAGUACGGCCGCAAGGUUAAAACUCAAAUGAAUUGACGGGGGCCCGCACAAGCGGUGGAGCAUGUGGUUUAAUUCGAUGCAACGCGAAGAACCUUACCUACUCUUGACAUACUAGAAACUUUUCAGAGAUGAAUUGGUGCCUUCGGGAAUCUAGAUACAGGUGCUGCAUGGCUGUCGUCAGCUCGUGUCGUGAGAUGUUGGGUUAAGUCCCGCAACGAGCGCAACCCUUGUCCUUAGUUGCCAGCCUUAAGUUGGGCACUCUAAGGAGACUGCCGGUGACAAACCGGAGGAAGGUGGGGACGACGUCAAGUCAUCAUGGCCCUUACGAGUAGGGCUACACACGUGCUACAAUGGCGAGUACAAAGGGAUGCGAACCUGCGAAGGUAAGCGGACCCCUUAAAGCUCGUCGUAGUCCGGAUUGGAGUCUGCAACUCGACUCCAUGAAGUCGGAAUCGCUAGUAAUCGUUGGUCAGCAUACUACGGUGAAUACGUUCCCGGGCCUUGUACACACCGCCCGUCACACCAUGGGAGUGGGAUGCAAAAGAAGUAGGUAGCUUAACCUUCGGGAUGGCGCUUAC
This 984-nucleotide ribosomal RNA is filed under the name uncultured bacterium. Its description in RNAcentral is "bacterial SSU rRNA". It matches the Rfam family "Bacterial small subunit ribosomal RNA", at positions 471 to 1457 of the family's 1533-position model. The record is from RNAcentral.